Non-coding RNA from Saimiri boliviensis boliviensis (Bolivian squirrel monkey), 1699 nucleotides. Lineage: Eukaryota; Metazoa; Chordata; Mammalia; Primates; Cebidae. The record is from RefSeq and is a predicted model, not a curated record.
AGUGCAAGAGCAGUGAUUCUGGCCAAAAGACAUGUCAAAGAGAAGCCAUGAAGUGCAACUUUUAAAUGAAAAGCCUACCUAUUAUCCCAGGUGGCAUGCAUUCUGUGGAGACAGACCUGAAUGUGUGAUGAAAAGACCAAAAUAAAGUGACAUUCAAAAAAGGAAACAGACCCUUCUGGGGAAAAAUGGAGAAUCCACAAAGUAAGGAGCCAACAAGACCUGUAGGACAUUCCUUCAUCUUCUCCUGGAUAGGGUGGCCCAGCCAUGGAUAUAUGCCUCUAAUCGUGAGCUCAGCAUAAAUGCCCAUUGCUUGAUAAAGUCAAUGCAUGCAUGUACGUAUUCUGGACUCCUGGCCUUAGACUCUUGCCUUUGUGUUUACCAACUCAACUAUAAACCCUUUGAGGGCAGAAACCAUAUUUCAGAUUUCUUGAUAUCCUUUCCCUUCCUCCAUGUCACUAACACUUCAUGUACUUGACAAAGGUCAACACCUUUGAGAGGAGUGAGAGAAGACACUCCCACAGUGCUGAAGUAUGUCCUGCCCUUGCCCAACAUGGUGGGACUCUGCCUCCCAAUUCAAAGACCCCCAAAACUUCCACCAAUCCUGUGCCUUUCUCCAACUCAAGCUACAAGUAAGAAUGGAAAGAUACCUUAGAUACCACCCAGCCCAAUCUUCUCAUUUCACUAGCAUAGAAACCGAGGCCACAGAAGAGAAUUGACUUAAAAACAAGACUGUGCAUCUCAGGAAAGGAAGCUGUCACUCUAGAACCAGAUCAUAUGACUCCUAGUUCAAUAUCCAUAAGACUCCAUCACACUAUUUUUUUGGCAUCAAGUAUCUAGAGAUAGUUCCAUCUGAAGAACCUGGAACCUAGAGCAGCUGAGGGUUAGAGUGCAGGAGGCUGAGAUCUCUUACUGCCCCUCCAUCUGCUCUAGGAAGUUCUGUUUCUUGAAGGGAACUCUUCAGAGAAAGGGACCACAAAUGAAUUGCUGCAGCUACGAAAUGAUACCAUGAUAAGAAUGGAAAUAAUUCUAGAUUCUCUGCUCAUUUCAACAAGUAAAAUAAGGCAUGUAUUUCUCCAUGGAUAGUGUUCUUUGGUCUUUGUAAAAAUUCUUUCUGUUUUGACACUUUUUCUAACCUAUUUCUUUGAAACCUGAGUUCACUCAGUUUGGGGAAACACAGGUUAUGAAAGAAGGAUGGGAAAAGGAAAAUGGAAUCACAGGAUUUUGAGUCAAAGAAAUUUUAACUUUCGUAGAAAGACUGCAGGGAUCAGCUAACACAACCAGCCCAUUUUAUAGAGGAGUCAACUAAGGCUCAAUGAAUCCACAACACUCACCCAGAAAAGCAGCUCAUUAGUGGCAGAGCUGAUCUAGAAUUCUGCGCUCCUGCUGCAGCAACCAGUCCUCUCUGCAGCAUCCCAAAAUCCCUCUCUCAUAAUAAUCCAGGAUAAUAGUCAUUUCCCAUUUUUAAUAAGAAGGAAGUGAGCACAGAGAGAACCAGGCACAGCAUGAUAGAAGAAAUCUGGAACUAAAGCCUCACUCCUUUUGUUUCCUCACUGCCUCGCCACCUCAGAUCCCAAAUCCAUAGCUUACAGGAAGCUUUUACCAACAUUAUUUCUAAGUGAGCACAGAAUGUACCAUCCAAGCCAGUGAUAAGAAUUCUCCCUGUAGCCUGCGGUUAUUGUAAUUAAAGUGCAUAACUUAU